UCUUUUAUAUAUUUCUUUUCUUUUCUAUAUUAUAGAAACAAUGGUUUCAGCAUGUCUGCUAGAGUGCUAGAAGUCAUUUAAGGAAAGCUCAGGGUAGCUUAGUCUUUACCUAAGUAAAUGAGUUAUUACUAAUCACACUUACGUGACUUUUGGUAAUUACUUAUACAUCUACGUGCAUAUUCAGAUCAUUACGUGUCUAUUUGUUUCUCCGAUGUUCUCGAGACUAUCUGUGAAUGCUGUUGCUCUCAAGGGCGUUGUAUCCUAAGUGUUAAGGUUAUUAUGUAUGAUGGACACCUUCACUCGUUGAUAUGUAGUUUCCUUGGGUUGUUGGAGGGAUUGCAGGAGGGAAGCUACAGAAUGAAUUGGAUAAUGAAGCUUAUUUGGAUGAGAAUCGCAGGCCUUUUAAAAAUAUGCAGUUCUUUGUCAAUGUAUUGUAUCCACUGCUUUAUUCCAUUUUGUAUAGGAUUUCAUUUAAUUGGUAAUUUCUACGCUUUCAGAAUCAAAACACACUGGCAUAUUGGAUGAUCCUUUUGAGAAUCUUUCCCAACGUGCUGACUUGAUUCAAAAUGCUUCGCCUGAAGGAAAUCCAAAAGAUGAGGAGAGAUGUGUGUUUUACUCAAUGUGGCAAUUCAAGGUGGAACACUUGCUUUUCCAUGCCUUCACCAGCUGCUAUAAGAGUAAGGGCACACUCACUAUGACACUCUUCUAUGGGUGACUUCUACUAGGAAGGAAUUUUUGAAGGAAACACUGGUGUAAGACUGAAUAGUUGAAUAUGCGUACAAAAAGGACAGCCCGCUGUAAGUAUCCAUAUGAAUACGAACCAGAUGUCGUACAAACUGGAGCAGCCCAAGAGGGGAGAGCAGGAUUUCCUAAUGAGCCAGUGACUCUCUUUGUUACCAAAGAUUCUUACAAGUAUAAGGUUGUCCUGCCGGUUGUCUCGAGAAACCUGUGCAAAUUGUUAGUUGAAGUUCUGUAUAAUGGCGAAUUCAAGGUAGGAGGGAUGGUAAGUGCUGGUGAAAUAACAAGCACUGUGGCGCCAAUUACGCUUAUUAGAAACACUCGACGGAUAUUUCCUCCUGGUCACUUCACUAUCAGUUUCACUUUGCCAAUACCUGCUGAUCCAGAGAGUUUAACAGCCUGGUUACUCUCAGAUGGCGUUUUGGAAGUGUGUUGCUUGGAAUUUCUGAAAGUGAUGGCGAUAGUGAGAUGAUUGAAAUGUCCAGAAAUCCGCCCUGGAUAAUCUGUUGCUUGUUUUUCUUAUCCCAUUGAUGAGAAUGAUGUCUGGGGAAGUAGGAACUUCCGAAUUUUCGCAACCAAACUCAUGGGAUGAGCAAGUGAAAGUUGUAUAUUUUGUGUACAUGUAAGAGCCAAAAGUAUAUUGGGUUCUUGUAAAUGUGGCAGUGCUAGUUUUUGCAAAACUAUCAGCUAUUUUUGCGUUGUAACUAACUAUCAUAUUGCUGAAGCACUUCAAUGUUGGAAGUGACCAAAUGUAUUUUGCUUUCUUGUAAAUGUAGUGGUCACCUUUUCUGUACAAGUAUGCUUCAAAGUUACUUAGUAGCAAGUAAAUAUUUUGGUGUUGAACAAUGCCACAUUGAAAGUUGUACUUUUCAUGAAUAUAAAUAUAGUUCUGGUA
Lycium ferocissimum is the source of this 1633-nucleotide RNA transcript. It is a transcript of the gene named increased DNA methylation 3-like, with no coding region annotated. Lineage: Eukaryota; Viridiplantae; Streptophyta; Magnoliopsida; Solanales; Solanaceae. The transcript is spliced from 6 exons. The record is from RefSeq and is a predicted model, not a curated record.